CAAAUCUUUUGCGAGGCUGCGUGCUUAACUGUGCGUAGUAUCUCACAACAUUAGCACAAGGUCGCAAGGCCUUGAUGUUUACGCUUGUAUGUUUGACAGAGUUAGUUGAGACAAUAAAAAGA
This 122-nucleotide unclassified non-coding RNA is filed under the name uncultured Agaricomycetes. RNAcentral describes it as "sequence contains ITS1". The record is from RNAcentral. Lineage: Eukaryota; Fungi; Basidiomycota; Agaricomycetes.